AGCAUAUCAAUAAGCGGAGGAAAAGAAACUAACAAGGAUUCCCUUAGUAACUGCGAGUGAAGCGGGAAAAGCUCAAAUUUAAAAUCUGGCGGUUUAACCGUCCGAGUUGUAAUCUAGAGAAGUGUUAUCCGCGCUGGACCGUGUACAAGUCUCCUGGAAUGGAGCGUCAUAGAGGGUGAGAAUCCCGUCUUUGACACGGACUGCCAGGGCUUUGUGAUGCGCUCUCAACGAGUCGAGUUGUUUGGGAAUGCAGCUCAAAAUGGGUGGUAAAUUCCAUCUAAAGCUAAAUAUUGGCGAGAGACCGAUAGCGAACAAGUACCGUGAGGGAAAGAUGAAAAGAACUUUGGAAAGAGAGUUAAACAGUACGUGAAAUUGCUGAAAGGGAAACGCUUGAAGUCAGUCGCGUUAGCCAGGGAUCAACCUUGCUCUUGCUGGGUGUACUUUCUGGUUAAUGGGUCAACAUCAAUUUUGAUUGUUGGAAAAAGGUCAAGGGAAUGUAGCAUCUUCGGAUGUGUUAUAGCCUUUGGUUGUAUACAACAGUUGGGAUUGAGGAACUCAGACGCCGAAAGGCCGGGUUUUUAACCACGUUCGUGCUUAGGAUGUUGGCAUAAUGGCUUUAAUCGACCCGUCUUGAAACACGGACCAAGGAGUCUAACAUGCCUGCGAGUGUUUGGGUGGAAAACUCGAGCGCGUAAUGAAAGUGAAAGUUGAGAUCCCUGUCGUGGGGAGCAUCGACGCCCGGACCAGAAAUUUAUGGACGGUUCCGCGGUAGAGCAUGUAUGUUGGGACCCGAAAGAUGGUGAACUAUGCCUGAAUAGGGUGAAGCCAGAGGAAACUCUGGUGGAGGCUCGUAGCGAUUCUGACGUGCAAAUCGAUCGUCAAAUUUGGGUAUAGGGGCGAAAGACUAAUCGAACCAUCUAGUAGCUGGUUCCUGC
RNAcentral lists this ribosomal RNA (935 nucleotides) under Cystoderma clastotrichum. RNAcentral describes it as "partial large subunit ribosomal RNA". It matches the Rfam family "Eukaryotic large subunit ribosomal RNA", at positions 37 to 961 of the family's 3401-position model. Lineage: Eukaryota; Fungi; Basidiomycota; Agaricomycetes; Agaricales; Squamanitaceae. The record is from RNAcentral.